AUUGAACGCUGGCGGCAUGCCUUACACAUGCAAGUCGAACGGCAGCACGGGGGCAACCCUGGUGGCGAGUGGCGAACGGGUGAGUAAUGCAUCGGAACGUGCCCAGUAGUGGGGGAUAGCCCGGCGAAAGCCGGAUUAAUACCGCAUACGACCUACGGGUGAAAGCGGGGGAUCGCAAGACCUCGCGCUAUCGGAGCGGCCGAUAUCAGAUUAGGUAGUUGGUGGGGUAAAGGCCUACCAAGCCUGCGAUCUGUAGCUGGUCUGAGAGGACGACCAGCCACACUGGGACUGAGACACGGCCCAGACUCCUACGGGUGGCAG
This 321-nucleotide ribosomal RNA is filed under the name uncultured Pseudomonadota bacterium. Its description in RNAcentral is "bacterial SSU rRNA". It matches the Rfam family "Bacterial small subunit ribosomal RNA", at positions 29 to 351 of the family's 1533-position model. Lineage: Bacteria; Pseudomonadati; Pseudomonadota. The record is from RNAcentral.